RNAcentral lists this small RNA (27 nucleotides) under Bombyx mori (domestic silkworm). Its description in RNAcentral is "ovarian small RNA-15608". The record is from RNAcentral. Lineage: Eukaryota; Metazoa; Arthropoda; Insecta; Lepidoptera; Bombycidae.
GACUCAACGAUCUGCAAGGUGUUGGGA